This is a long non-coding RNA of Lycium barbarum (goji berry), 548 nucleotides long. RefSeq lists it as uncharacterized. The transcript has 2 exons. The record is from RefSeq and is a predicted model, not a curated record. Lineage: Eukaryota; Viridiplantae; Streptophyta; Magnoliopsida; Solanales; Solanaceae.
UUGAAGUACAUAGUUCACCUAAGUGACAUUUUGUGACUCAAAUCUCUAUAUAUAAGCAACACCCAGAAACAUAAACUGGGAACAAACAAGUUAGUAAAAAAUAUGGCUAAGAUGAUUGAGGCAAGUAUUAUAUCAUUUAUGAAAUUAAUGGUGAUGCUAAUUUUGAUCUCUAAUUCACAAUUAGUAUAUUGUUUGGAUCAACAAUGUUUUAGGGACUGCAUUAGUGCAUGUUACCAAAAUCCUGGUUGUUACAUAUCAUGUGCAAGAGAAUGUGGGGGUUCUCUCAAGAAUACUUCUUCUCCAAUGCACUAUUGCAAUCUUGGUUGUUCGAUUCAUAAGUGUGCAAGUUUAAUCAAAGAUGACAAACAAUGGCGAGGUUGCAUGAAGGAUUGUUCCGACAAUUAUUGCAAAAUUAGAGCUUAGAAGAUAAUUUUCAAGACUUUGUUAUAUGAUAUUAAUUAAUUAAUGUUGAAAAUGAAAAGCUAGUCAUAUGCCAUCGUUUGUCAUCAUUCCUAUAAUAUGCUUUUCUUGAAUCUCUAUUUGGAAUA